ACACGCGCUCUCUCUCUCUCUCUCUCUCUUCGCCCCAUUUAUGUUUGCAUUGCGCUGUGAAACUUGCCUCUCACUCACUCUCUCUCUCUCUCUCUCUCUCUCUCUCUUCGCCCCAUUUUGGUUCCGUGCGGUUCCUGUUUUCCUGCCGCCUUAUGAUCAACCCUCAGAUGAGAUGAAUCUCCCCCGAAACCCCAACUUCAGAUUUUCUCAGUUUCUAUUCCAAAUUAGUCUCUCUUCCGCAUAUACGCUGAGGUUUCGUGAAUCGAUCUCCACUCGUUCGCAGAUAGAUAUCGCUCUCUCCUGAAACCUAACUCCAGAUUUUCUUAAUUUCUAUCUUGAUUUUUCUUAUCCAGUAAUGAAUUUAUUCCCUCUUCUGCAUAUAACUCGAGGAAUCGCGAAUCAAUCUCCACUCCUUCGCAGAUAUCCAUCCAUCUCUUGAGUAUGCUUUCCGCUGAAUCCAAAAGAUUUCAAGUAUUGACCUCUUGAAUUUACUCGAAGCUUUCUUUAGACUCCACGCUGCUGAGGUAUUUGCCAGUUUUAUUCUUGAUUCAAAUAUGUAAUUAUUGUUGUAUGUGCAGUCUAUAAUUCAUUGAUGUUGUUUUGUUGUAAUUUUUAAUGAACAAUUAAUCAUUUGAGAUGAUACUUUACGAGUCACGAGUGCCUAUAGGUCCUCCUUAUGCACAUGGCGGAUUUUAUUCCUCCUUUUGUUCUUUACUCUUCUCUCUGCUUGAUUAUGAUUUUUAUUUAUUUAUUUAUUUUUUGGUGUGCUUAUAACAUGACUUGUUAGUUAAGAUGCAAAUAAUUGUUUGACUAGCUAUUUAGGCUUUCAGAUUUGUGCAAAAUAUAACUAGCAGGUGCAGCAGUUGCCACUGUUGGAGAGAGGUGAAAUGGUUUAGGAGGGUAAGUCUGCAAAAGGCUCUCAAGGUUCUUACAAGUGAUUGUUCUUUUAACUGUGUUUUGAAUUUUAAAACACUUAACUCCAUUUUAAUUAUUUACUAUUUUGACCUUGUGUGUUAUAUAUAUAUUUAAAGGAUCUUCAUGAGAUAUUUGAGUUGGGAUUGAAACCUAAAUCUCCAUGUCAUUUAUCACCAUUUUUUUGAAAGAAUUUUUUCUUUUUUUAGUAUUUUUGUACUUAUUUUUAAGGAUCAUAAAAAAAAAAAAAAAAAACUCUCCAAGCCCCUGCAUUAUUUUCUCUCUCACUCCUAAUCAGCUACUUCCAAGAAUGCAAGUUUUAUGCCCCCAAGGUGUGGUUCAGAUGGCAAGGUCACUUCCUAGGAGUGCCGCUUGACGGUCAGCUGAUGAAGCCUCCCGGGUUCGAUUCUUCCCCUGGGCUCCUGCAUUUACCCUCCUUGUGGUAUUUUGGAGCCAGAUCCACAGGGCGUGGGAUUAGUCACGGAGCAUAAAAACGCACGUGGACACCCGGCGAUAUUUAAAAAAAAAAGAAAAAAAAAAGAAUGCAAGUUUUAUGGGUAAGAUUGUUACAAUUUUUUACCAGUGUAUAUGAUUAUUUUAAUUUGCCAUUUGGUGCUUUAAAAUUUUCUAUGAUUUUGAUUUCUAAUAUUAGUUUUUAUUGUCGUAUUUUUCUGCGCA
Long non-coding RNA from Malania oleifera, 1590 nucleotides. RefSeq lists it as uncharacterized. The transcript has 2 exons. Lineage: Eukaryota; Viridiplantae; Streptophyta; Magnoliopsida; Santalales; Ximeniaceae. The record is from RefSeq and is a predicted model, not a curated record.